AACGAACGCUGGCGGCAGGCUUAACACAUGCAAGUCGAACGCAUCGCAAGAUGAGUGGCGGACGGGUGAGUAACGCGUGGGAAUCUACCCAUCUCUGCGGAAUAGCUCGGGGAAACUGGAAUUAAUACCGCAUACGCCCUACGGGGGAAAGAUUCAUCGGGGAUGGAUGAGCCCGCGUUGGAUUAGCUAGUUGGUGGGGUAAAGGCCUACCAAGGCGACGAGCCAUAGCUGGUCUGAGAGGAUGAUCAGCCACAUUGGGACUGAGACACGGCCCAAACUCCUACGGGAGGCAGCAGUGGGGAAUAUUGGACAAUGGGCGCAAGCCUGAUCCAGCCAUGCCGCGUGAGUGAUGAAGGCCUUAGGGUUGUAAAGCUCUUUCACCGAUGAAGAUAAUGACGGUAGUCGGAGAAGAAGCCCCGGCUAACUCCGUGCCAGCAGCCGCCGUAA
Molecule: ribosomal RNA, 447 nt
Filed under: uncultured bacterium
Lineage: Bacteria
Description: partial 16S ribosomal RNA
Rfam family: Bacterial small subunit ribosomal RNA
Source: RNAcentral